Molecule: long non-coding RNA, 1055 nt
Organism: Prionailurus viverrinus (fishing cat)
Lineage: Eukaryota; Metazoa; Chordata; Mammalia; Carnivora; Felidae
Exons: 4
Source: RefSeq, a predicted model, not a curated record
AAUUGAGCUCUUCGCGGACAAUUGGAAGUGGGUUUCCCCUGGAAACUUGGUUGUUUGGAGGUCCAAAGGCUGAAUACAAGUUUGAAGACCAAAGUAGAUGAUCGUAAAGCUCAUUUCCUGCCCUAAAGCUUUUAUCACUUUGGACCUGAUGGCUAAAGAAAGGAGCCAUAUACCUCCAGAAGACUGCUCCCUUGGCCAUAAGAGAGAACAUUGGAAGGACCAUUCAAGCAAGUCUUCUCUGCAACUGAGGUACAAGGCAUAUCAAACCAAUGAGAGAGAUAAAAGCAAGACCAACUAUUAGUGUUCCAACCCCAGAGACCGACUGUUAGCAUAUUCCAGUCAGGAGUUUCAAUUUAGUUCUUUAAGAUCUUGGAAGUUACCUUACUCUUCUGAAAGUAUGACUUCAGGAAAUAUGGAACAUUCAGCUGUUUCCAAGAGCAAAGGAGCCCUUCAAUGAAGCUUUCUGCAAUGAUGGGAAUGUUUGAUAUCUGUGCUGUUCCAAUUCAGUGGCCACUAAGUACACAGGCUUAUUGAACACUCGAAAUGUGGCUAGUAUGACUGAGGAAGUGAAUUUUUAAUAUAAUGUAGUUUAAUUUUAAUUUAUUUACAUUUAAGUGUAAAGAGGUACAUUUGUGGCUAGUGGCUACUGUUAGUGCAGAUUUAGAUUGCUAUCAUUGCCAUAAGCAUACAGGCUCCUAGACUAAUAAUUGGAAUUCUCAUGCCUAAAUCAAGUGAAAGGGUCAAAUCUCAUUUUCUCAAAUGAAGACACAUCAUCAUGGAGGCAUUUUGUUCAAAACUAUAAGUCUAGUUCUUUGCAGGACUCUUGAAUAGGUCUGUCACUCUGGGUUGUCUUCAUUUUCAUCUCAGUUGGAGGGGAGAGGGUGAGUAUGUAAGUCUCCACAUGAGGGUGCUUUCCAGGAUCAGAUGGCAGUUUGCUAUUGGAAACCCUCCUAGACUGAAAUUUACUUGCAUCUGAGGGUAUGUAAUAUGCUACAUACUUACCUGAUUUUGAAAUCCUUUCACAUAAUGUUUAUAUCCUGUGACUUACCACCAAA